Bos taurus (domestic cattle) is the source of this 5122-nucleotide long non-coding RNA. The record is from Ensembl. Lineage: Eukaryota; Metazoa; Chordata; Mammalia; Artiodactyla; Bovidae.
CUGCUGCGCUGUUCAUUUUUCUAUGAACUUGUUCAUCUUUUCCUUACUGAUUUAAGAAACCUUACUGAAUUCAGUUAACCCUAGCAAUCCACAUUUGAUGGAAACAUUAUCAUUUGCAUCUGGUGGGGGAGGUGGUUGGGAAAAUUGGUGUAUGCAUCUACACAUCUGAAUAUUUACUUAUUUAUUGGCCACGCCUUACACACUUGUGAGAUCUUGGUCCCCAACCAGGAAUCAAACCAGGGCCCUUGACAGUACAAGCAGGGCAACUACUGCACCACCAGGGAAUUCCAUAUUCAGCUAAAUCUAAUGGUCUUUUCCAAUUUGAGUUUCUUGAUUUUUAAAAAAUCAUCCUGGCCUUCCCCGGUGGUAUAGUGGCUAAGAACCGCCUGCCAGUGCAAGAGACAUGGGUUUGACCCCUGGUCCAGGAAGAUUCCACAUGCCCUGUGCAACUAAAGCCCGUGUACCACAAUUACUGAAGCCCGAGCACCCUAGCGCCUACAUGCUGCAACUACCGAAGCCCAUGUGCCUAGAACCUGUGCUCCACAAGAGAAGCUACCACAAUGAGAAGCCCUUGCGCCGCAAUGAAAAGUGGACCCCUCGCAUCCCAACUAGACAAAGCCUGGAUGCAACAACGAAGACCCAGCACAACCAAAAAUAGAUCAAUAAAUAAAAUUUUUAAAAAAUAAAUAAAAUAAUCCUAAGCAAAUUCUUCCCAUAUUAGUAUUAGUGUGUCAGUGGUACGGAACAAAGGAUCACAAAUGGAGUGGCUGAAACAACAGAAACUUCUCAUCUGAUAGCUCUGGAAGCCAGAAAUUUGAGGUCAAGGUGUGGACGGGGUGGGUUCCUUCUGAGGGCUGAGUUGUUGUUCAGUUGUUCAGUCGUGUCCGACUCUUUGCGACCCUGUGGACUGCAGCACGCCAGGCUCCCCGUCCUUCACUGUCUCCCGGAGUAUGCUCAAACGCGGGUGGUGCCAUCGACCAUCUCAGGGCUGGGAGGGAGAGUCUGUUCCAGGCCUCCCUCCUUGGCUUCUAGACGCGUCAGCCCGAUCUCUGUUGUCACCGUCACAGAGCGUCCUCCCGUGUGCCUUUCUGUGUCCAUAUCUCCCCUCUUCAUAAGGACAUAAGUCAUUUGAAUUGGGUCCACCCUAGCAACUUCAUCUUAACACGAUCAUCUUAAGGACUUAAUGGCAAACUCCUUAUUUCUAAACAAGGUCAUGUUCACAAGCACUGGGGAUUAGGACUUGAACUUCUUUGUGUGGGGAGUGGGGACACAAUUCAAUUCAUAGCAUUUGCUUUGACUUGUUUCUAAUGGUUUGAUUAUUUCUCCCUUUCCGCUCGAUUCUCUGUUUUGGAAUUUAUUUAUUUUUAAAAUAUAUUGCCAAAUUGUUUCAAAACCCUGAUAAUGCUUACGGACCUGUCUAUAAUUUUAAUCGAUUGAAAAUUGAAUUUCUCAUUGCCCCUAUCAAAUAGUUUUAUUUGGCAUGUGGGAUCUUAAUUCCCUGACCACAGAUCAAGUCCAUGCUCCCUGCAGUGGAAGCUGGGAAUCUUAACCACUGGACCACCAGGGAAGUCCCCUGGGAUUUAUUUAUUCAACAAAUACAUGUCUAAUAGUGACUAAUGUAUAUUUCCAAAAGGAAAAUUUUAUUCUGUGUCAACUGUACUUCAAGGACAUUGCUUUUGUAAAAAAUAAGUGUUGUGAAAGGAAGAAAGAAAGAAGGGAGGGAGGAAAGAAAAAAAGAAAGAGAGGAAGGAGACGGAAGAGGGGCCUGCAAUUAGCAUUGAGCUUUAUGUCGGAGGACUUUGGAGUGAAGGUUAUCGCCUGUAUUCUUCAGAUAGCCAGCCAUCUGUCAGGUUGUCAGAGAUCCUUCCUGGAUGAAUCACCACCCUCCCCCAACCCCUGCAGAAGACAAGUUAGAGCCGGUGCCCGGGCCUCAAAGGACCUGGAUGGGCCUCCGAGGUCGGCUGGCUCAGACGGCACCCCCACGCGCCCCUUCCUUGCCACCAGGAGCAUCAGCUGCAGUGUCACGGGUGGGAAACGUGGGUCUGCUCUCCAUGGGACAGCAUGGGACCCCCAUGGGACCUCUCCUGGGACAAGCACAGAGGUCAUGCACACAGAAGGGCUAUUUGGUUUCUCUGGUCUCCUGUUCCCCCCACCUCAUUACUGAAUAACUAGAAGACUUCCUGUUUAUCCUCUGACAUAGUUGUUUCAUGGCCAGUUUCACUCCUUGGCCUAUCCUGAGGUGAUCCGGAUUUAGCCUCAGGCUUUUUGAAUUAUUUAUAACAGUUAAACAAAUAUGACGUGACUCAGAUGUCCAUCCACUGAUAUGUGGAUAAAUAAAUGCUGGCUAUCCCUCAAUGCAGCGUUACUCGGCCAUGUGUUGUGUCUGUGCUAAGUCGCUUCAGUGGUGUCCGACUCUUUGUGACCCUAUGGACUUGUAGCCUGCUGGGCUCCUCUGUCUAUGGAAUUCUCCAGGCAACAAUACUGGAGUGGGUUGCCAUUUCCCUCUCCAGGGGAUCUUCGCGACCCAGGGGUGGAACCCGGGUCUCCCGCAUGUCUCGCAGAUUCUUUACUGUCUGAGCCACCAUAAUAAGGGACCAAAUACAGAUUCCUGUACACCGUGGAGGAACCUGGGAGACCUCACUGCUGGGUGAAAGAAGCCAGACAGUAAAUGACAAAUACUGCGUGUUCCAUUUAUGUGAAACGCAGAGAAAAGGCAAAUCCAUAGACACAGAAAGUAGACUAGCAAUGGCUGGGGCUGAGAGAUUUGGGGGGAAAUGAGGAGUGACCACUGAAAGGGGACUGGGUUUCUUUGGUGGUUAUGAUGGCGUUCUGUGAUUAGAUAAUGGUGAUGGUUGUAAAUAUACUAUUAAUAAAAGCCACAAAGCUGUACACUCUAAAAUGGUGAAUACUGGGAAUUCCCUGUUGGUCUAGUGGUUAGGAUUCAGGGCUUUCACAACCCUGCAGGGAUGUGGUGGUGGGAGGGGAAUUCCAUCCCUGGUGGCGGAACUGAGAUCCUGCAAGCUGUGUGGCCAAAAAUUUUUUUGUUUAAAUAAAAAAUGGUGAAUAUUAUGACAUGUGAAUUAAAUCUCAGUUAAAAAAUUUUUUUUAAAAAAACAGAGAAUUCCCUGUGGUGUUUAGGAGUUCAUGAUUCCAUUGCAGGGGGCACAGGUUUGAUUGAUCUCUGUUCCGGGAACUAGGAUCCAGCCUGAUGUCCACCUAGGACCUCUUAGGGCAUGGUCUUUCAGUGCUCUUCUUCCAGGCGUACAAGGCCAUCCCAGCGACCACUACUAGCGCAGCAGGCCACACCGCAGACCCUAUGGCCGUUAAACCCGCAGACAGAGAACCCUUUGCCUAUAAGGGAGGAAUGAGGUCAGGUGACCUGAGUGACACCAGGGUGACCUCACAGGAUGGAGACAGUGAGGGGAUGGUAGGGCUCGGGGUCCCAGACUGACAGGAGAAGGUGCAGGAACCAGAGAAAAGACAGAGACACUCAACAAGAUGGUCCCAUCCUGCCCCCCCACCCCCAGCUGAGCAGAAAGAAUAAACUCUAAGGCAGAUGCCGGCCUUGCCCCUCCCUCUGCAGUAACAAUCCGGUAAUUUCAGGGCAGCGACUUGACCCUCAUGGAAACGGCACUCUCUGCCUCCUGGACUGGUGGGAGGAAACAAGUGCCCACGGGGUUUGGGGGCACCUCGGACAGGACUGCCUGUGGGGAGCCCUUCUGGGUGAGCCAGGUAUGGGCUUUAGGGUCUGGGGCGAGGGGACACUCUGGCUCCUCAAGCAUGGCUCCAGCCAGACCCAGGCUCCCAGCAGGGGGUGGAGGCCAAGGGCUCCCUCAGGUCCCCUGAACCUCCUGGUCUGUUGCUGGGGAUGUGCUGGGGUCUCAGUCCAAGGGGAGCAGUCCCUCCACCCUCACCCCCAGGUCCCUGGAGACUUAAUCUGUUCUGGAAACAACCAGGGUCCUGCUCUUGUGCUGGUAGCUGUUGGCUGGGCCUGGUCAGGUCCAGCUGGUUUUGAGGGGUGGAUUUGUCUCUCACCACGAAGAAGAUUAUCCCGCUUUUCACAUCUGUCAUCUUCUCAAGGUAUCAGAGUUCACCCCUGUAGGGGGACACCUGUAGUCAUCUUCCUUCCCACACACUCCGACUCCCCCAAGGUCCCCCAGGUCCCCCCGCAGAGACUGAAGCCCCUCCCCAACCCUUCUGGAGGGGUCGCCCAGACAAGAGAAAAGUGCCACUUGCCUGGAGCUGACCUUGGGGGUUGGGGGUCCGCUGGAAGGUGACAGUGGGGUGUAGGCUGGGCCACUCCAGGGACUGCUGGGUGUGGAGAAAGGAGCACCUAGGUCCCCUCCCCCACUCCCCCCCACUUCCUGCCCGACUGCCCCCACCCUGAGCCUGUUCAAAGGUACCCCAACAUGUUGGUGGAGCAGCAAUCCCACUCUGGUCCCCAGUCUGGCACCCCCUCACCUUUUGAAGGAACCCGAGCUCUCUCCUCUCCGACUCUCAGCUCUAACUAGGCCAGAUCAGCAAAUGGACUUGGUACUGCUAUUUGCUUUCUCCUCCCUCCCGUGCACCGCACCGCACCACCGCGGCCUCUUAGAAAAGCAGCAGUUUCCAGGAAACCAAGUUUCUGAGAUCACGCAUGCGUAGUUGCUCAGUCGUGGCUGAUUCUUUGCGACCCCUACGGGCGGUAGCCCGCCAGGCUCCUCUGUCCAUGGGAUUCUGCAGGCAAGAAUACUGGAGUGGAUUGCCGUGCCCCGCUGCAGAGGCUUUUCUCAACCCAGAGAUCAAACCUGAUCAAAUCUCUUACAUCUCCUGUAUUGGCAGGCGGUUUCUUUACCACUACCGCCACUGGGAAGCAAUGGUUUGUUCCAUUGCUCUCUUUCGUCUGCUCUGCAACAAAAGCUUUUAAAGGAGACGCGGGUUUGAUCCCUGAUCUGGGAAGAUCCCACAAGCGGUGGAGCAACUGAGCCCAAGUGGCAAAACUGCUGAGCCUGUGCUCUAGAGCCCAGGAGCCGCAACAAGAGAAGCCGCUGCAAUGAGAAGCCAGAGCACCGCAACUAGUGAGUAGCCCCCACUCGCUGCAACCAGAAGAAAACCUGAGCAGCAACGAAGACCUAGCACGGCC